This 513-nucleotide ribosomal RNA is filed under the name uncultured bacterium. RNAcentral's name for it is "partial 16S ribosomal RNA". It matches the Rfam family "Bacterial small subunit ribosomal RNA", at positions 28 to 523 of the family's 1533-position model. The record is from RNAcentral.
GACGAACGCUGGCGGCGUGCCUAAUACAUGCAAGUCGAGCGGAACUGGGGGGAGCUUGCUCCUUCCAGUUUAGCGGCGGACGGGUGAGUAACACGUGGGCAACCUGCCCUGCAGAUCGGGAUAACUCCGGGAAACCGGUGCUAAUACUGAAUAGUUUGGCGCCUCUCCUGAGGCGCUACGGAAAGACGGUUUCGGCUGUCACUGCAGGAUGGGCCCGCGGCGCAUUAGCUAGUUGGUGGGGUAACGGCCCACCAAGGCGACGAUGCGUAGCCGACCUAGGAGGCUGACCGGCCACACUGGGACUGAGACACGGCCCAGACUCCUACGGGAGGCAGCAGUAGGGAAUCUUCCGCAAUGGACGCAAGUCUGACGGAGCAACGCCGCGUGAGUGACGAAGGUUUUCGGAUCGUAAAACUCUGUUGUGAGGGAAGAACACGUACCAACUAACUAUUGGUACCUUGACGGUACCUCACCAGAAAGCCACGGCUAACUACGUGCCAGCCGCCACGGUAA